UCCUAUCACUUACAUGUUGAGACAGUUUGACCACGCCCACUCCCGAGCUCCAGUCAGAUAAAAAGAAGGACAAUUUCUGCAGACGACACCACAGCUCCUAGUAGCCAGAUAUUUGCUGAUCAGUUCAGAACCUUUCAGUGUUCAACUCAACACCAAUCAAUCAAGAUGAACAACACCGUCUUUGUCGUUCUCGUCGUCCUGGCUCUGAUCGCCGCUGCCAGUGCUAUGUCAUUCUCCAGCUGUAACAGCAAAUUCAACGACUGGUACAGCGACUGUAAGAGCCGUUAUGGCCAACAAAAAUGUGACGUAGCCAUGGGAGGCUUCUCUGUAUCUUGCUAUUACAGCUAAGCUCUUCAUAUGUGUCUUGUAACCUGAACACGUUACCAGCCGUGGACUUCUGAAUAAAUCUAGAUCUACUGCCUGA
Aplysia californica (California sea hare) is the source of this 424-nucleotide long non-coding RNA. RefSeq lists it as uncharacterized. The transcript has 2 exons. The record is from RefSeq and is a predicted model, not a curated record. NCBI's taxonomy places the organism in Eukaryota, Metazoa, Mollusca, Gastropoda, Aplysiida, Aplysiidae.